UUUCGCAAUGCCCGAAAGGGUGACGAAGCGACGUCGCGUGUGGGAAGAAGGCCUUCGGGUUGUAAACCACUGUCGGGAGUUAAGAAAGGUGUACGGGUAAAUAGUCCGUGCAUUUGACAAAAGCUCCGGAGGAAGCCACGGCUAACUCUGUGCCAGCAGCCGCGGUAAUACAGAGGUGGCAAGCGUUGUUCGGAAUUAUUGGGCGUAAAGAGCACGUAGGCGGCCCUGCAAGUCAGCUGUGAAAGCCUCCUGCUUAACGGGAGAAGUGCAGUUGAAACUACGGGGCUAGAGUGCGGAAGGGGAGAGUGGAACUUCUGGUGGAGCGGUGAAAUGCGUAGAUAUCAGAAGGAACACCGGCGGCGAAAGCGGCUCUCUGGUCCGUAACUGACGCUGAGGUGCGAAAGCCAGGGGAGCAAACGGGAUUAGAUACCCCGGUAGUCCUGGCCGUAAACGAUGGGCACUAAGUAGAGGGGUUUU
RNAcentral lists this ribosomal RNA (477 nucleotides) under uncultured Planctomycetales bacterium. RNAcentral's name for it is "bacterial SSU rRNA". It matches the Rfam family "Bacterial small subunit ribosomal RNA", at positions 364 to 832 of the family's 1533-position model. Lineage: Bacteria; Pseudomonadati; Planctomycetota; Planctomycetia; Planctomycetales. The record is from RNAcentral.